GCCUGGCUGGAUCAGUCAGUAGAGCAUGUGACUCUUGAUCUCAGGGUUGUGAGUUCAAGCCCCACCUUGGGCA
RNAcentral lists this transfer RNA (73 nucleotides) under Felis catus (domestic cat). It matches the Rfam family "tRNA". Rfam says of the family: Transfer RNA (tRNA) molecules are approximately 80 nucleotides in length. Their secondary structure includes four short double-helical elements and three loops (D, anti-codon, and T loops). The record is from Rfam by way of RNAcentral. Lineage: Eukaryota; Metazoa; Chordata; Mammalia; Carnivora; Felidae.